RNAcentral lists this long non-coding RNA (1101 nucleotides) under Calidris pugnax (ruff). RNAcentral's name for it is "lncRNA (ENSCPUG00000003646.1)". Lineage: Eukaryota; Metazoa; Chordata; Aves; Charadriiformes; Scolopacidae. The record is from RNAcentral.
CGGCAGACAACCGGGCUGGCAGAGCCAAGCAACCCCUGCGGGGCUGUCAGGGCCGCCGGGAAGGUCCCACCACCGACAAAAAAAAGCUCAACCUGGGAGAGGGAAGGCGCCGCUUGACAGCUCCCUCCGGGAGGCUCUAGCAACUUCUGCACCGCGCCAGCCCCCGGCUCCGCCGCCUCCCCUCGCCCGGAGGAGGAAGUUCCCGCUCCCCUUAUCAGCGCUGCUCCCACAACCUUCCUCACGCCCGACCCGCCGCCCCGCAUCCCGCCUCCGAAACGGGGGGGAAAAGGAGCCCAGCCCGGGCCGGGCCGCAACCCGCCGCCCCCGCGGCUGGGGGCGACCCCCGCCCGCCGCGCAUGCGCCCCGCAGCCCCUCACCGUUGCCGGGUGACUCGCCCUCCCCGCCGCCCUCAGCACCACCACCGGCAGCGGCAGCAGGUUCCUCCGCCUCUUCCUACCCCGCGGGCCGAGCGCGGGCCUCUCCUCGCCUCUCCGCUUCUCCUCGCCGGCCGCCGCCGCCUCCUCCUCCUCUUUCUCCUUCUCCUCCUCCCUGGGCCGCCGCCGUCGCCGCGCUGCCGCCCCGGCCGCCGUCCGUCCCCACAGCCGCUCCGUCGCUCCAGCAGCGCCUGGCCCGGCCGGUGCGGGUGACUCAGCCGUCCGCCUGCCUCGGCCUGUGUGGGCUCAGGGGUGCCCAAAGCAUGACCACGGCCCUGGGCCUCACCACGCAGGCUUCUGCUCCACCACAGCUUUGCAUUCCUCCACAACCAUAUUAAAAACAUUUCCUGCAAAUUUCCCGGAUUAAAGCGUGAAGAACGAUCACCCCCAAACAUUUCCCGGGUGUGAGCACGCCAGAAGUAACGAAGUGCCCUUUGACAAAGAGCUAAUGCAUUUGGAAACACAAAAUUUAGCACCCUGGAAGUAAGUUAGCAUAAGUUAGUGAGGAGAUGGGAGCUCACAGCAGAAGUGUUAAACGCCGUGCCUGACAGUCUGUGGUUCCCACAUGCCACGUUGAAACUACAACAGCUUUUUCUGUCAAGCCGUGCCAGCAGCCAUAGGUGGUGGGUUUAAUAAAGCAUUUAAGGAAAUUUGGAUUUAGUUAGUA